Salmo salar (Atlantic salmon) is the source of this 4519-nucleotide non-coding RNA. Lineage: Eukaryota; Metazoa; Chordata; Actinopteri; Salmoniformes; Salmonidae. The record is from RefSeq and is a predicted model, not a curated record.
CUCCAAAUACCUCUGACCGAUGUUACAUUCUGUGAACAGAACCAGGGGCUGGAUGCGUGAGCUUUUGAAGACAUGGGUUUUUGAUAUUAGCCCGACUGCUAUAUAAUGAUAUCGUGCACUAUGACCUGUACACUAACCCUAGCGUUUUUCUUCCGGACAAACAUGGUUGAGGACUCAUAUGGAUAAGGAUACAUAUGAACAAAAUCUGUGUUCAAGUAGAAGUGCAUCUCCGUCAACAUGCGGAUCCCUCUCUUCUGCAGAAGAUGGCAUUAACAGGCGGUAACAUUUCAUCUGGUGGUGUCAAAUUGAGGUCAGUUUAGGGUUAAAGCUCUCGGUGUCCGUGUGGGACAUGGCCAGCUGCGUUUGGAUUCAUUAGGGGGCAGCGGAUCCAUUUCAAGGAAAACACUACUGAGACGAUCACGAGGCUAAAGAUCCACUCGGUGUCACAUCCUAAAAGUGCACCUACUGUAAAAAAGUAACCCCCAAACUCCCAUUUCAAAACAGACACCAAUAUCUCCACUUUGCCAUGGCUUCCUCUAAACUAGCCUGGUAGCUUAUCUUGUUGCUAAAUAUGGAGAAAUGUUUUGUUGAUUUAAUUCCUUCAAAAAGGUCACUGAUACGAAUCGGGGUUUAAAUCCUCUUAGUGACCUUAAAUACUUCUUUAGAAACAAUCGCUGCUUAACCACAGGAACAAAUAACAUCGGCCUAAUCUUGUUUGUUACUUUGUUCUGAGUUGGCCCGCCUUAGUAUUUGAGAUUAUGCAAAUAGGAAAAGCUAAUGUUGGCAAUAGAAAGCCCACAGAUAAGAGUAGAUCAUAGACUUUUCUGAGGGGGACAGAAAACCAACACUUUCAUUAACCUAAAGGUAUAUUUAAUGUAUGGUUAUUUUCUGAAGUUUUAUAGUAGGCUUUUGUUCAGUUGAUGUUCAGACAAUAUCAAUACUCGAAUGUAUAUGUUCAAAUCUAGUGAUUAACUAACUAUUCAUUUAUAUAGGUUUGUUUAUCUUAGUGUUUACAUAAUCUAGAGGGACGUUUUUUUUUGUUUAUACGUAGCCCUGUCAAUGUUUUCCUCAUGCAACACAUACGGCAUUACCUCACCAGGCUGAACUCUUUCUGACCCCACGUGAAAUGUGACUAGGGUCCCAGAAAGUGGAAUGAGCAACUCAAAUACUUGUCAAAGUUUCGCGGCUAACUGUAAAUUCUUCAGUUCCAAAGCCGUAUUUUCCCCUCUAUCGAUUCUCAGAUUCUGGUGUCUGAGGAGGGUGAGAGAGAGGGGGUGGGGUGGGGAGCUACACAAAAUGUAACUGUGGCGUUCUCCCUUGAAAAUCCUUGGGAUUUGUCUCAAAGACACUUAGCAUGCCUAAUGCGUAAAAUAUGCAUUCCUCUAGCGACAUCUGGCGGAUUGAACAAACGCCAAACGUUGAAUCGCGCCACUAUUAAGAAUUAUGAAAAAAAUAGGUAAUCUUUAGGAAAAAUCUAAUUUGCGUGACAACGAAUAAUAUGCAUUAUAAAUUGUGAUCAUAAUGAAGUCAUUAUUAUUUGAACCAUAUAUGUUUUUAAAGUGCAAUUGAAUAUAUUUUACGGUUGAAAAUAGGCUUAUUUGAAAAAUAUUUUGUGAGGAGAGAGAAUGGAUUCGAAUGCCGAUGUUAUCAAUAUAUCAAGCAUCAUUUGUAUCCCAACAAACAAUUUUUCUGUGUGAAAUGUGAACCACGCAGGGUGCUGUGUAAUAUCAAAAAUAACGGUAACCAAAAUUGUACUAUUUGUCCAAAGAUUAGGAGUAAAUAGAAAAACCCAGUGAGGAAGUUGGGACCAUCAUUAGUUCUGGUUUCUGGCUCAAUUAAUGUAAAGGAAUUUACUGGUACACAGGCCAUUCAUCUCUCAAUGCAAUUACUCAAAGGUGUUUUUCUGUACAUGAAAGCUCCUGCGAAAUAGAUAACUGGUGGAAUUAAAAAUGACACAUGAAGCUCUGAUUAUUAUAUUAUUGUAAUUAUUAUUAUUUGCCUGUUAUUAUAACUGUUACAAUCCGUUAAUGUAGGCCUAAUAUUUGACAGUGCUGUUAAUUCAAAUUAAUAGCAAAAUCACAAGCAAUCAGUUUCAAUGUUAUUAUAAAUCAUAAAAAUAUGUCUGAUUUAUUUGGACAUAAACACGUUUGAAUUAAUGUCAUAUUUCGUGAAAUAAAGAUAUUUUAGAAUGUCUCAGCAAUCUAUUAUUUAUUCCCGGUCGAUAUCGUCCAAAUAGAUUAAUGUUGCCCCACUCUAUUAUUUACAUUAUGAUAUAAUAGAAUCCCCUAAGGUCAAUAGAUAUUUGGUAAUGUUUAAGGUCAAUAGAAAUUUGGUUAUGUUUAAGGUCAAUAGAAAUUUGGUAAUGUUUUGUCAUACUGUUUUGAAUUCUCCGAAACGAAUUUCAAAACCAACCACAAUUUAUCAUAAGGACACUGAGGUUUUCUUGCAAGAACAUGCGAUCAUACUUUUUCCAUAGAGGUAGUAGUUGUCUGGAUCAUUACCGAGAGCUGAAUGAACAUCCCUCCCGACGUAGCACGGUUUCCGUCAGGUAUGGUGAGACUAGUGACCGUGGCGAGGACUACGGUCAUAUGCAUCAAAUGCUGCUGAGGAGCUUGUAUUGUGUGUUUAUCCUGAAACACUGGGUGUGCAAGAGUAGCCUAACUAUAGCCUAAUAAUUUGUCCUUGUCCCCUUCGUAUCGAACUGUCUGAGCAAAUAUAAAGAAAUGUGUAGCUAGACUAUCAGUUUACCGAGCACUUUGGGGGGAAGGUAUGCAUUUUUAUUUUGGGAUUGAGGAGGUGGACACGUAAAGGGCCCAUCUCGCCACAUUACGACAUGUAAUAGAGAGAAGUUUAAGUGGAGCCCGAGAAACUGAGAAGUUAAUAGCGCUGACCCUCUCGCGGUGCCUCUGUCGCUCAUCAUUUCUCAGACUUAAGGGGCUUAAAGAGGCAGUAGGCUAUGGGCCCACCUUUAUUACAUAUGAAACGCUCUCUUCCUUAUCUACAUAAUAGGAAAUACAUGCAUCGUUGCGUGUUAUGCGGAUUUGGAAAUAGAAACAUGUCCAAUAAAGUCGCCCUCCCUAGCUGAUCAAAGGGGAACAUGGCUUUAGGCACCAAAGAAACUACCCCGACCAUUUAAGCCGUUAUUAAAUUGUAUUAAUUCCCCUCUCCACUUUAAACUUUACAUAAAUUCCACCCUUGAGUUGUUUGUCCAGUACAGAGGGGAACAAUUUAAGUGUUACAUUUUCAUGGUUGCAUCAUGCCCCGGAAUUGAAUUCAAUUGGACAGAAUAAUCAAGAACGCAAAUAGAAUGUGUUCGGUUGCCCUCUGGACAAUUGGAGAUGUUUUUAUGCCAGCCUUGAUGGCAGACGUGUCGAGAUUCAUAAUUAGGCAUGCAGCUUUAAACCUCGGAAUGUCUGUCAGACACACAUCCAACUUAACAGAUAACCAUAUCUUAUCUUAACGCAAGCUUCUGACACUGCACGAAAACCCCACUAUGUAUUUAAAGCUAUUUGCAGACCUUCAAUUGUUUUCAAAUGUGAGAAUAGGCCAUCCACGUAAUGCACCCUUUGCGAAAAAAAAGUCGAUGGUUAUCAAAGUUUCCUUCUUGAAAUUGUUCAAUGCUAUUUUAUAUAUACGCUUUUUACGAGUUACGAGUUAUAGCCUUCAGAAAAGCUUUAUUGUCUUUUACUUGGUUGAAAAGUCACUACUUUCAAUAUAAUGCAACACUAAUAAUUAUAGUUUUCCUACAGGAACAUUUUGUGAAAGUGACAUACUGUAGGCUACUUUCAGAUUGCUCUGCCUUCAUGUGCGUGGUAAUAUUUUUUGAACUCGCCAAAUUGUCUUAUCAAAUGGCAGGUGAAUAUAGCCCCCCAUGUGUCUAUACAUCUUAACAAUUAUGGACCUGUUAUGGGACUUUUGUGUAGCGGUAAAUAAGAACAGUUAAAUAAGAGGAAGUUUUCAUUUGGAUAAAUGUGUAUGUUCAGCUGUCAUAUACUAGCCUAUUGCCCUGCUACUUUGUGAAAUGUGUGAGAUGCUUUAUGUUGUACAAUAGGAGUGUAGUUGAACUGAAAGAGAGGCAGGAGUGGUUGUUUCCACCAGGGUGGGGAGUUCCAGUCAUGUCGGUUACAGCUGCAUUACAUUUAGGCUAGGUAGGCUAAAGUGAAAGACUGACUAGAGAUGAAAGUGAAAUGAUGAGAAACGCUACUCUGUUGUUCUAUAAAACACUAUUGAAUAGGCUUUCAUAAUAAAUAUGAACAUUUAAUACAUUUAGUUAACAAAAUAAUCUGUAAUAAUGUUCUUGGGUAAUGUUAAAUGCUCAUUCUCCAGUUGAGCCACCUGUGCAAUCAUUGUUUACUCUCCCAUGUGUGUAAACUUCAAGUGCCCUACAUGCUGAUAAAUAAGUGUAGUAUGGCAGGCUCAACAGUCAAGUGUUGUAAAGAUUCUGAGGUAUCUUUGUGUGUAUUUGUAUCUGUCCUUAAAGUUUUGAUACAAUUAAUAAAUAAGCGUGUUUUAUAAUUGA